GAUGAACGCUGGCGGCGUGCCUAAUACAUGCAAGUCGAGCGAACAGACGAGGAGCUUGCUCCUCUGACGUUAGCGGCGGACGGGUGAGUAACACGUGGAUAACCUACCUAUAAGACUGGGAUAACUUCGGGAAACCGGAGCUAAUACCGGAUAAUAUAUUGAACCGCAUGGUUCAAUAGUGAAAGACGGUUUUGCUGUCACUUAUAGAUGGAUCCGCGCCGCAUUAGCUAGUUGGUAAGGUAACGGCUUACCAAGGCAACGAUGCGUAGCCGACCUGAGAGGGUGAUCGGCCACACUGGAACUGAGACACGGUCCAGACUACUACGGGAGGCAGCAGUAGGGAAUCUUCCGCAAAGGGCGAAAGCAUGACGGAGCAACGCCGCGUGAGUGAUGAAGGUCUUCGGAUCGUAAAACUCUGUUAUUAGGGAAGAACAAAUGUGUAAGUAACUAUGCACGUCUUGACGGUACCUAAUCAGAAAGCCACGGCUAACUACGUG
This 497-nucleotide ribosomal RNA is filed under the name uncultured bacterium. RNAcentral describes it as "partial 16S ribosomal RNA". It matches the Rfam family "Bacterial small subunit ribosomal RNA", at positions 28 to 507 of the family's 1533-position model. The record is from RNAcentral.